CGGGCGAGCAGAGCGGGCCUGGCCUGCAGACGCUGCCAUGUCGGUUGUUGCCUUUCCUCUGCUUUAUGUCGCCCCGCCACCCUAUCUCCGGGUCGGCGAGGGCCUGGGGAGGCCUGCGGAGAGGGGCGCUGGUUGGUUUAACACAGGACGUGCCCGGGUCGUGCCCUUUUAGCUUCCGCCUGUGUUCCAGGCUGUCAAAUAUUCCUGUACAUAGUGGUUCUUGGUUGUUCUGCUUUUAACUUAAGUCUCUCUGGAGGUUAGAAGUACAAGAUCAAGGGUCUUGCUGACUUGUGGUUUCCAGUGAGGGCUCUCUUCCUGGAGAAGGAAAUGGCAACCCACUCCAGUAUUCUUGCCUGGAGAAUCCCAUGGAUGGAGGAGCCUGGUGGGCUAUAGUCCAGGGGGUUGCAAAGAGUCGGAAACGACUUCACUUUCACUUUCACUUUCACCCUCAGCUGAGAAGACUUUCUUCUCUUGUGUUUGCUAUUGAUUGUUUUCUUGAGUUCUCAAAGACCUGUGACCAUAUAUUUUUUUAAGUUGCCUGUUUUCUAAUUGCAUCACUUUAUACACUGUUGUCUAAUAAUAUGUGGUAUUUGGAAUGCCUUCUUAAUUAUUUUGAGCAGCCAUUGCCUGUAUUCUCUUAGCACCUCCUUGGUUUUCUUACAUGAACUCAUCUGACAGGGAAAUGCAGCUUUUUUGUUUGCCCUCUCUGCAUACUGGACCGUCUGAGUCAGUGUUCUAACUAAUCCCUGAUGGUCUCUGAGCUAGUGUUCUACCAGACUCAGUAGUUAUGUGCUUCAGGAAUUUUUUGGUAGAAUUGGUCCUAUUAGGAGACUCUUGGUGUCACCUUCGUUAUCUUAAAAGCUGGUCCCUUCGCUGAGGCUCUUAAUUUUUUGAAAACUUGAUGCUAUUUCAGCUGAAAAAAAUUGGCAAGGCUAUUUAAAAAAUUGAGGGAAGCCAUUUAAGAAAUUGAAAUGUAGUCGCAAACAACAUUGGGUAGUUGUGACUUUCAGUCCUGUAUCAGUUGAAUUUUUGUGCUCUUUCCCCUAUGUACGUGGUGGUUCUAUUUUUCUCCAAUAAAACUUUUUAUGAAAAAAAAAAAA
Dama dama (fallow deer) is the source of this 1100-nucleotide long non-coding RNA. RefSeq lists it as uncharacterized. The transcript is spliced from 3 exons. NCBI's taxonomy places the organism in Eukaryota, Metazoa, Chordata, Mammalia, Artiodactyla, Cervidae. The record is from RefSeq and is a predicted model, not a curated record.